CCUUCGGGUGAAGGUGGCGGACGGGUGAGUAACGCGUAGAGAACUUGCCUUACAGACUGGGACAACAUUUGGAAACGAAUGCUAAUACCGGAUAUUAUGACUGAGUCGCAUGAUUUGGUUAUGAAAGCUAUAUGCGCUGUGAGAGAGCUUUGCGUCCCAUUAGUUAGUUGGUGAGGUAACGGCUCACCAAGACGAUGAGUGGGUAGCCGGCCUGAGAGGGUGAACGGCCACAAGGGGACUGAGACACGGCCCUUACUCCUACGGGAGGCAGCAGUGGGGAAUAUUGGACAAUGGACCAAAAGUCUGAUCCAGCAAUUCUGUGUGCACGAUGAAGUUUUUCGGAAUGUAAAGUGCUUUCAGUUGGGAAGAAGUCAGUGACGGUACCAACAGAAGAAGCGAGGUAAAUACGUGCCAGCAGCCGCGGUAAUACGUAUGUCGCAAGCGUUAUCCGGAUCUAUUGGGCGUAAAGCGCGUCUAGGCGGUUAAGUAAGUCUGAUGUGAAAAUGCGGGGCUCAAACCCGUAUUGCGUUGGAAACUGGUAAAUAAAGUACUGGAAGGUAGGCGGAACUACAAGUGUAAGGUGAAAUUCGUAGAUAUUUGUAGAAUGCCGAUGGGGAAGCCAGCCUACUGGACAGAUACUGACGCUAAAGCGCGAAAGCGUGGGUAGCAAACAGGAUUAGAUACCCUGGUAGUCCACGCCGUAAACGAUGAUUACUAGGUGUUGGGGGGGUCGAACCUCAGCGCCCAAGCUAACGCGAUAAGUAAUCCGCCUGGGGAGUACGUACGCAAGUAUG
Molecule: ribosomal RNA, 794 nt
Filed under: uncultured Fusobacteriota bacterium
Lineage: Bacteria; Fusobacteriati; Fusobacteriota
Description: bacterial SSU rRNA
Rfam family: Bacterial small subunit ribosomal RNA
Source: RNAcentral